AUGACGGUGACACAGCUGCUGUGUUUGGCCAGCGUUGGGCGACGGUGUUGUGAAGGUCAUCGCAGCAACGGGCAACCAGCCAACUCAAGAGGCCAACCCACCGCUUCCACUCACGUGCGUCUUGCUUCCGAGGCCCACAGUGCACCCUGUUGUUUGUUUCGCAGACAAACGUGGCGUUGUAGAAGAGGAUUGGGAACUCAACCCCAAGCCGUCCCAUCUCUUGAAAAUACCGUUAGAGGAAAAGCCACUGCCAAAUCCAGUCAAACCUGUUUUUUGUGCCAUUGAUAUGGCAGCUGUAGGUGAAUGAGGGCCACCUGAGGGCCACCGAAACACCCACAUGCACCCAUUCUGAGCCCCCACUGCGAAUUGUGACUCUGCUUAAGGUCGGAGCAAUCCUAGCCAUUGAUGUGAUUGAUACAUUCCUUUCUUAUUGAGAAGAAAUGAGAAAAAUAGCCAAACUCUUUCUCUUUUUUGAAUAGAGCACCAAUAACACAAAGAGCAUUCUUUUGCAGCAUAAAUUAUGUAUAUUUUAAUUAAUUAAUUUAUUUUAAAAAAUAUUUAUUUAUUCAUGGGAGACAGAGGGAGACGUGGGACUCGAUCCCGGGACUCCAGGAUCACGCCCUGGGCUGAAGGCGGGCGCUAAACCGCUGAGCCACCCAGGGAUCCCCUAUAUUUUAAUUUAUAAUGUACUUUUUUUCCAAUACAACUUUAAGGUGGUUGAGUCAGUUUUAAGUUUUGUUGUUUGGUUUUACUUUCGUCAAGUUUUGUUUCCUACAUUUUGUAAAUCUCUAAACGUUUCCAGUAGGAAAAAUAUGUAGAUUCAUCUUUAUGUUAUAACUUACCCAAAGUGUUGGAUUUAACUUGAAAUCUUUUCAGCUCCUAAAUCACCAUUUUAUGAUUUAAGUUCUCAGCACAGCAUAUUAAGCCUUUGGUGAGUUAAAUAACAACUUCAAAUGAGAAAUCAUAUUUUUUAACAUAAAUUUCACAGAUUAGGCUAACGUUCUGGGUUUGUUUCAACAUCCCCCUGUGAUAAUUUCCCACCACUCACUAAAGAUUCCAAACCGUGAACCGUGGCUUUCAUAGUUCUGCGUGAUAUGGUCCAAAUUUACUUCUAACUUCACCUCCUUUCCGUGCCUCUGGGGCCUGCUCUUCUCCAGCCCCUGUGGAUUCCUCGCUUCUCUUCGAACAGACUCAUGCGCUCCUAUCGCAUCAGGACAGGCUGGGUUAUUCUGCAGUAAUGUAUUAACUCCAAAAUAAAAAACUCUUAAAACCAAAGGUUUUGUCUUGUUGGGUCUACCUUUUUUAUUAAAGGGUAUACAGGUGAGAAAACGCUCAAUACCUUGACCACCGUUAAUUAUUGCUCUGAAAGGAGAAAAGAAGAAACGUACGUUUUCCAGCUGACAAGUAAAUGCUUCAAUCCAGAAGUGACACACAUUAUUUCUUUCCACGAUUUGUUGGACAGAAUUUGCCGUAAGACCCAUCACAACACAAAAGGGCCAGAAACUACAUUCCAUGUGCCUGGAAGGGAGGAAAAGAAGAAAUAUUAAGCAAAAAUAAAAAACAUGAAUUAUUACUUCAGGCAUUUUUUUAAACUUGUUUUUAAAACUGAUGGGGAUGCUCUUCCCUCAGGAAAUCAGAUGACACAUUCUCUUUCUUCCAAUUUUGCCAAAAUCCUUAGAAAGUUCAUCCCUAAUAACCCCAUCUAAAACAACUUUCCCUCAUUACUCUCUCCCUACCUGCUUUAUUGUUAUCC
RNAcentral lists this long non-coding RNA (1753 nucleotides) under Canis lupus familiaris (dog). Its description in RNAcentral is "lncRNA (ENSCAFG00845004015.1)". Lineage: Eukaryota; Metazoa; Chordata; Mammalia; Carnivora; Canidae. The record is from RNAcentral.